Molecule: ribosomal RNA, 270 nt
Filed under: uncultured Gammaproteobacteria bacterium
Lineage: Bacteria; Pseudomonadati; Pseudomonadota; Gammaproteobacteria
Description: partial 16S ribosomal RNA
Rfam family: Bacterial small subunit ribosomal RNA
Source: RNAcentral
CCUUCGGGUGAUGAGAGUGGCACACGGGUGCGUAACGCGUAGGCAAUCUGCCCCUGACAGGGGGAUAGCCCUUCGAAAGGAGGAUUAACCCCGCAUAGUCUCAUGAGAUCGCAUGGUUUUAUGAGUAAAACUUCGGUGGUCAGGGAGGAGCCUGCGUCCGAUUAGCUAGUUGGCGGGGUAGAAGCCCACCAAGGCGACGAUCGGUAGGGGGUCUGAGAGGAUGAUCCCCCACACUGGCACUGAGAUACGGGCCAGACUCCUACGGGAGGC